UAGUAUUGUAUCCAAACGGACCUCUAAGCAUAAUAUUUCGUCUUUAACCUUCCUCUUCUCCUCUUCACCUGCACUAAAUACUUUGAUUUGGGCAUCUCUUUUCCGAUCGGCAACACAGGAAGGAAAACAACGCAAGAGUUUUACUUCAAAUGUCGAUGCUUGUUUUCCACUAAAAGGAAGCGUGUUGCAGUCUGAGAGAGAGCCAUGUGAGGAAGAGGAAGGUGGAGAGAAGAAAAAGGAAAGACAUGGGGCUUCUUAAGGAAGUGUAGAAUAAAAGAAGGUAAAAGAGUAAAAUCACAUGAGUGUGGGGUUUAGAAUUUUUCUUCUCUCCAAACGGCAACAUCCUCGCACUCCCACUCUCUCCUCUAUCUUCAAGUGCGCGCCUAGUUCCAACCAGCCCUCCCUCCACCAACGAAGCUCCUUUGCCGCACCACCCACCACGGCAUCAUCUUCAUCGACACCACCGCAGACUAGAAUCGAAGAAU
Juglans regia (Persian walnut) is the source of this 485-nucleotide long non-coding RNA. RefSeq lists it as uncharacterized. NCBI's taxonomy places the organism in Eukaryota, Viridiplantae, Streptophyta, Magnoliopsida, Fagales, Juglandaceae. The record is from RefSeq and is a predicted model, not a curated record. The transcript has 3 exons.